This 1093-nucleotide long non-coding RNA is filed under the name Anser brachyrhynchus (Pink-footed goose). RNAcentral describes it as "lncRNA (ENSABRG00000005541.1)". The record is from RNAcentral. Lineage: Eukaryota; Metazoa; Chordata; Aves; Anseriformes; Anatidae.
AUCACAUCUUCCUGGCUGCCACCCCCUGCCAUGAAAUCCUCUUUUUGCUAUGCGCUAGUAAAUGUAAUCAAUUUCUUAUUUUUUUUUUUUAAAGGCCAAAGGAGGUGGCUGUGUUUCACAGAGAAGACUUCACUGAAAACCUUGGACCUAGUUGGUAACCUCAAAAUGCACCUUAAGGACCUUAAGGACUGUAGAAGACCACCUGAGUUGCUGCAGAAGAUGUCAUUUACGUCAGCUUAUUCUGACUGGGUGGCAUCUGCCAUCUCUGGAAAGGCCUGUACCAGGUUUGAGCCUUGGAGAGAAUAGUUUGCUUGCUGUCAGUGGAAGCUAGAGUUGUUCUGCACUUCUUUUUCAACCUUUUGCUGCGCUCCUAGUGAGCAUCCAGACAGCUCUGCCUCGAGUGCUGCUGGGAGGAGAGAUGGAGACUGGAAAGAAGGUGGCAGAAGCAAAAGGAACUGAAGAUAAUUUCAUCUGCUGCAGCAGGGACGUAAGGUUACAAAAUGGAGUGCCAAGGCACUUCCUCUCUCUCCCAUUUUCUUGAUUUUGUCACCUGAAAACUGAAUUCAGGAUCAGCCUGCGUAAGGUCUGGGUAGGUGGCAUUCCUGAAUUGUUCUAAGAUGCUUGGGCAGAUAUCCUUAACUCAGUCUGUAUCAAGCACCUAUUGCAUCAAGGGACAAAUUGAGGUUACAUCUGAAGACUCAACAUCCUUUCUUUAUAAGCAAAAGCAAAAGUUUUAAUUGCUUGGCUUUAGCAAGUUUAGUGUUUGUAAGGUGUCAGUGCAGUGUAUACUGUUUCUGGUAGAAAAAAAAAUGGGGAGGGGCUAUUUUCAUGCUGUACUUGUUUAUUUUUUUCACUUGGAAUACUUUUUUAUCUAUCAUCUGAGUAAGAUUACCCAGUCUUUGGUCCUUACUGAGACAGAGAGGUUCCAGAAUUUCUUGGUGUAAAUAAGCAUCGCUAAUUUAAGGUUUGCAUUUCAAGGUUUAGCUUUACCACAAAGUACUGUAUAUUCUUCUUUUGUGAAUUUACAUUCUCAUUUAUAUAUACAAUAUAUAGCCUCCGUUACUUAAAAAUAAAUCUUAACCAGUUGCGAUCA